AAGUAUUUUUAAGUAUUUAUUAUUAACUAUUUUGUAAGUAUUUUUAAUGAGAACAAAAAUAAGAUUAUUUAAACAUAUUUUAUGUGGCAAUAUAACUUAAUGUCAGAAUGCAAAUAACAUAUUUGCAGUAUGUGAGUUGUAAUGAAAAGAAAAUGCCCAUAAUUUUGCUACUUAGCACAGCCAGGUAUCAUGGGUGCCCUAGGAUUAGCCUGCAUUUCCCUGCUCCUGAAAACUGACUAUUAUGGAGUGUUGCUCAUGAAUGGUUGAGAAUUGCUGGCCAUUGAAAUAUCUCUUUAACGAGUAUUGUGUGGGAAAAAUUAAUGUGUCUGGGUGGCCAGCUUACAAAGAGAAAAUGCUCUCAAAGAUAAAUGUUAGACUAACCCUUAAGUAUGUUUAAGGUCAUUUCACUCCCCAGAGAAACAUGUUUCAGAAAGCAUAAUGGAAAUUAAUGGGAAAUAUAAAUCUCUAUAAAUCAACAUUUUACACAUAGUUUUACAGAAUGUCAUCAAAAGCAGAGUACAUAAUUAAUUUCUUAAGUAUUUCAUUCAAAAAUUUAUUUAGUGUCUUAUAUUCUAGGCAUUGUAAGCACAAAUGAUGCAGUAGUAAAUAAAACUAGAGACCUAUCUGCCUGUCUGUCUGUCUGUCUGUCUCUCUGUCUCUAUAUCUAUCUAAAUUUUGUGUGAGAGGGCUCACACAAGGAACCAAAAAGCUGAUGAUAAGCCAAGUGUUGUGAAUGCUGGAAUACAUUAAAGCAAUAUAAGGAGGAGAAGAAUUAUGGGCGGCAGGGAAAAAGGGAGUUCAGAUUUUUAUCUACAAGAUAAUCAGGGAAAUGGCCUGAUUUGUGGAUGUAUUUAGGUAUAGACAUAAAAGGAGGAAGGAAAGUGGAUAGUUCUAGGCACAGGUAGAAUAUGCCUAGCAAGAACAAGAGUAGAACACAAUGAGAUCAGAGAGGAAAUAUGGGAUCCCAGACCAUGUUAGACUUAUGGGAGGCAUUGUAUAACCUGUGGCUUUUAUUACGAGUGAGACAGAAAACAAUUGGAGGGUUUUGACAGAAAACAAUUAGAGGGUUUUGAGUAGAGAAGAGACACAAUUUGACCUAAUAAUGAAUUAUUAUUUUAGCUAGUAGAUUGAGCAUAGAUUAUUCAUGGGUUCAAGGUAGAAGAAGAGAAAACAGGUAGCAAGUUAUUGCAAUAAUUUAGGUGAGAGAGAAUGGCUUGCCCAAUGGUGGCAGCGAAAAGUAAUUAGAUUCUAGACAUAUCUUGAAGGCAGAGACAACAUAUAUUUUGAGUGGUUAUUUUUUAUAUGACGGGGAAAGUAAGGAGUGAAGGGAAAAAAAUGACUGACUCCAAUAUUUUUGACCAAAGCUAAAAGGUUGGAAUUGUCAAUUAAUGAGGUGGGGAACUGGAACGAAGAGGCUUUUGGGGGAUUGGAAGGAUUUUCAUUUUUAGUGCACUUAGUGCAUUCUCCAUUCGAGAAUUUACAUCACUGAAGUGGAGAAAAUGAAGUUUGGAUUUGAAAAUAUGGAGUUUAGGAAACAGUUCUGAGUAAAGGUAUGUAUAUAUUUUUUUCCUCAGAAUAUAAAUAAUAUUUAUAGCCAUGAUGCUGAGUGAGAUCACCUAAAGAGAGAUUUAAAUAGAGAAGUCUGAGAAUGAAAUUCUGAGACACUCUAAUAUUUAGAGGAAAAGAAGUUCCAGCCAAUGAGACAGUAAAGAAGUGGAUAGGGAAGGGGAUCCAGAGGCCAAGCAAAAGUAUUCCAGAAAAAAAGGACAACUGUGUUACAUGUUUCUGAUAGGUCCAUAAAUGAGGAAUGUGAAUUGACUGUUGGAUUGAGCCAUGUGAAAACCACUGGUAACACUGACAAGACAUAGUUUGAUAGAGUAGUGGGCACAAAAGCUAAACUUGAGGUGUUCAAAACAUAAUUGCAGCAGGAAACAGUACAGACAGUGAGUAUAAAAAAUAACUCUCCAGGAGGUCUACCAAAAGGCAUGCAGAGAAAUAGGCAGGAACUCAACUCGCCUGUCAGAUCGAGAUUCCUUUUUUUUAUUCUUAUUUGAAAGGAAAAAUAACAGCAUGUUAUUAUGAUGAUGGAAGUGAUAGAGUAGAAGGUAAAAUCGAGAAACAGAAAAAAGGAGAGACAAUUGCUGUGUUGACAUCUGGAGUUUAUGAAUGGGGAUGGUGCCCGGACAGCAGAAAGAGCCCAUUUAAAAUCAAUGGUCGUGAAACACAGUGAGACAAGUCAUCAAAGUCGCAUGUUUUUCUCCAGCCUGACUUAGUUGCCUCCAUGAUUAAACAGAGUAGGCAGGGACUGGAUUUGAUGUGAGCUGAGGUUUAUCCAAGUGAGUGUGACUGAAGAGAGGAGCACGCGUAUGCCUGGAAGUUUAAAGGAAAUGAAACAGUUAUGACCUCGUAAGGCUGCAGUGUUCUUCAGAGGAGAAACAGGAGCCAAAAGAUGCACGUCACUCUAAGAGAAAAGGUUUGGAAUAGAGAGGAUUUUGCUGAUUGUUAUAAUUUUAGCAAUUUCAUGAGAUGCUAUUUCACAGUUUAAUUAAUGCUAUCACGUUUAUUAUUUUAUUCUACCCACAUUAAUAAAAAUAACAACGUAAAAUUUAAAUUAUAGUGUAUUUUCUCCACAAUGUUGAUCUAAUUAUUUAUGUCCAACUUUAGAACUCAAUCAAAAAAGCAGUAUCCCUAGAAAUGUCCACAGUGUCGGAGUCAAAAUAAGUUGUGUUUCUUUUUGCAAAUUGUGAAAUAACAUUGCUAAAUAUAACUAAGGUUCUGGGAAGACAAAGGAUUAGUGAAACAGUGCAUGAGUAUUAUGUAAGGCACCAAGAAAGGGCAAACAUUACAUUUAUAUAUACUUCUAUAUAUAAAACUUAUAUUUAUACGUGUGUGUGUGUGUGUGUGAAAAUCAUUAAGCCAUAUAAUUUAUGCUGCUUGUUCUGAUACAUGUAUUCAUUUUUUAAAAAUUGCCAUUAUGGACUCUCAGGUAUUUAUUUUAUUUCUAAAGCCAACAAUGAGAUUAUUCUCUGUGGAUACGUGACCAGAGGCGACAUGCUCAGGGAUAUUAUAGCAGAUGAUCCUAUUAUAGUAAAGCACACUAAAUAAUCUUUAAACUCUCAUCCAAAUCUACGAUUCUAUGAUUUUGAUUUAUCCAAACAACAGCCACCAAACUAUAUGAUAAUGCUAAUGUUGAUAAAAGACCAGUGAUGAUCAAUGCCAUGCCUCCUAUGAAGUUCUAUCAAGAACACCUUAAUAACUCCUUAAUAAGAAGACGGUGCUCUCCUGUGCUGCAAUAACAUUUUUCUUCAUCUUCCUCUAACGGGAUGUGUGCCUUUUUUUCUGGUUAUUUUUGAAAGUAUCUUGAAUGGUAAUGUGAAUUCAUUCAACCUCAACAUCUAUUUACUGUUACUGACACCCUACUUGUUAGGCAGUGGGGAUGAAAAUAAUAGCUGACUUUUUGGAACAGUUUCAUCACAGUAGGCAGUGCCAAGGGCUUUCUUUGCAUUGUUCCAUUUAACCCUCACAAUGUCCUUAUGAAAUAUGAUAUCAUUUCAAUCAGCAUUUCACAAAUGAGGAAACAGAGACAUAAAGAGGUUAAGUCACUUGCCUAAAGUCACACAAGAAAUGAUAUUGCUCACUUUCCAAUCCAUGCUAUCUGGCUCCUGAACCUGUAGUCUCUAAACUACUACGUCAUAGUGAUGAAAAAACCACCAUGGCUCACAUUAGCCCCUCGACAAUUUCUCUCUCUCUCUCUCUCUGUCUUCCUUCUAUCUCUCUCUUUCUUGGAGGCUGGGAGUUGAAUGUGGCCAAAAAUUCUUUGAAAGAACUCUUUUUGGGUAAUAAUGUAGGCACAUUUAUUAAAAAGUGGUGGUGUUUAGGGCUUAGCCUCAUCAGCUCAUAACCUAUGCACUCUUCUAAUCACGAUGUUCCUGAUUGCUAAUUAUUUUCUCUUCUCCUAUUACUGUUUCCUCUCAUUAUCACACAGUCUUUUCAUCACCUGACAUUGUGCUUCUGGAUGUCCUUGUACCAAUUUCACUCCACCUCGGCUUGUCAUAAAGCAGUUGGUUUCCUGUUAUCAUUCAUCCAUUUGAGAUGUCUUGCAGAAUUAUCUAACCAAGUUUCCACAUGAUAUUGUUACAUUCUAUUUACUGAAUGUAACAAUAAUUGAAAAUCUAUGUGGAUAGACUGACUAUAGACAUAUAUAGCAUAAUUUAUAUGAUUAUUAGUUAUAGAUGCCUGCUCUGGAGCAUACUGCUAUAUUGACACAUGAUCUCAAGCAAAAUAUAUUGGCCUACUACUAAUUUAUCCACAGCUUCUAAUCAUCUUAGAUAAUCCAUUGACAACUUUCAGUGCUACAAUAUCAAUAAAAUGAUUUUCUUUCAUGUAUCAGUGAUAGUAAAUUUGCUUUACAUAAAGGCCUCAGCAACUACCAUUUACACCUGGACAAGUUAAAAAGUGUGACUAUAAAUCAACAUCAAAUAGAACAGUAAAGAUCAACUAUACCUCAGGAAUAGCUGUUGAAAACCAGGUUCGAGCCCUAGCUGUCCAGAAACAACUUUGAUUUACGUAUAUGAAAUUAAGACACUGCUCUACCAUCAAGCAGCAUUACAGGAAAAUUAUAUAUACUUAGGGAGACUAGAUUUAGUAAGCAAGUAUUUUGGAUGUCUUUGAUGUUAUGAUAACAGUUGGUAAUUUAGGGAAUGCUUGCUUGGCAGGUGCCCUUAAUAUAGGCAAUUUUGCAGCUUAAUGAGUAUAUUUCCACCUACUGUUUCAAGAAUUGCUCCUGCCAGAGGCUAUGAGAAACUGUAUAAGAUAUCGAAAUUUAUCAUGUACUGUCAUUUUAGUCUGUGAAUUAGUGGGCCACUGGAGGUAUAAGCUUUAACUUCUUCAAAUCUUUCUGAAAAUAUAAUAUUCCUCUUAAGGAAUAAUGGUCAUGAUCAACAUAAUUCCAUGUAUUCAUACUAUCAUAUAUUUUUCCCACAUACCUUCCUUAUACAUUUAUAUAACUCAAUAACUAGAUUAUUAAUAUCUUUGGAGGAUGAUUUGAGGCAUUUGACAAUGUUAGAACCUUGCAAAAUUCAGUUUCAAGGAACAAUAGUGACGAAAUAAUAUAUAUAGUAUGUUUCUUGAUAACACGGGUCUAUUAUCAAUUUAUUAAAUUUUUAUGCCAAUUAAUAUCCUUGUUAUGCUACUGAGAGUGAUUAUAUAAUCUGAAUAUGCUGCGAUCCGUUUUUCUGGUGUGCUGGAGCCAACCCACACAGUGGUUGAGAGCUUAUAAUUAAAUAUCAGGAAGAUUCAAGCCAGUGGUUAAAUAUAUCCAUCGUUAAAAAUUGGAUUUUACAAUGACUUAUGUCAUUGAGUUUAUUCACAGCUAUCAUAUGUGGAUGGUAAAGAUAUGACGAGGUGUCACUACACACCUCUUCCUAACUCCAGGGUCAGCGUUGUCAUGUUGGUAAUUAGACAUCUGCCAUGGUGGGUGUAUUUAUACCAUAAAAAUCAGCAAACACUACAAAUUGGUAUUUUUAUUAUUUUUUGAGAGCCAGUCAUUAAAUAUUUAUCAGUAUACAAUUGCCUGUAAGGCAUGACAUAUCUUCUCUUCAUUUAUUAUGAGUAGGUGAGAUGACAGGACGCAAAAUUACAGAGGAUUGGUAAUUUAUUUUUAAAGCAUCUCGGAACCACCAUGGCUCCUGAAAAGGUUGGUAUAAGAUUUUCUCCAUAGUUAAUACCAUGAAAGAAAUUCACUUUUUAUGUAAUUUGUGUACAAAUCAUCUCCUAAAAGCCAGAUGUUUUGUAAGUUUUUGAGACAAAAAAGAAAACAAAAAGUUUAAUGUAUUUACUCAAUGAUCCAAAUAUACCAAAAUGUAUAUUGGGUUACAGGGAGGCACAUUUAUGAAGUGUGUGUGUGUGUGUGUGUGUGUGUGUAAACACUAGUAAGAAAAUCAGUCAUAGAAUAAAGUAAUAGAGGUACAAACACCAAAUAGAGCUGUAAGAUCCUAGAAGAGAUAAUGAUUACCAACCCAGUCUCAUCUGGAAAAGCCUGGAAGGCUACAUAUGGAAAAUGACAAGAUGGAUUAUUGUAUCAAAUCAUAUUAGAACUGGAUGGUAGUUAAGGCAAUAGAAACAGAUUCCAUUCAGUAUUAUUGCAAUAGGGUAAAAGGGACCUCAGAACAGAACUGGGUUCAAUUCCUGAUACAGCAUGAACAAGGGGGGAUUAUAGCCAAAAAGCACUAUGUGAGUCAGUGGAUGGAAAAAUUACUUGGAAGAAAUAUUAGAAGUAAGGAGGAAUUCUGUCUAAACUAACCUACGAGGAUUCUUGCUGAAGAUAGGCCAGGGUCAUCAGAUAUGAUUCCCUUCACAUCACCUGGAGGAUAGUGGAGGGUGGGGAACCCAAUUAGAUAUUGAUGGUGAUCAGAUAUGGAGCAUGGGAGAACCUGGCUAAACCAACUCUGCAAGAGUCUUGCUAAAAUUAAACCAACUCUGCAAGAGUCUUGCUAAAAUUAAACCAACUCUGCAAGAUUCUUGCUGCAAUUAGACAAUGCACACAAACACAGAAGUCCAAAAGUCAGGCCUAGUUGAAAAAGAGUUCAGGGAAGCCUGAUUGGAGUUUUGUCAAGAAGAAAACCUUUUGUCAGUUGAGAUAAAUAAAACUUCAAAAGGAGAAACAAGGAGGGAAGAGCAUUGCAGAUGAGAAAUAGCAUGAGCAGAGAUACAGAGGUGGGGGAGUAUUAAUAGAAAGGUAACAAUUAAUUGUGACUGUUUUGCACAAUCCAAAACAUUUAAUGAGUACUUGCCCCAUUCCAGGCACUGAUCUUUGUUCUGUGAAGAAACCAGGAAGCUUCCGGGCUGAGAUGGCAGUGGUGGAGGGAGUGACGCUGAGGACUGGAAGGUUUAAAAGCACAAAAAUAGAGUUUUGACUUUAAGAACAGGGCUAAGAUUCUUUUCUCAGAUGCAAGGUUUUACAUUUAUAUGUGUUUCUCUUCUUCAUUCAACCCUCUCUCCUGAUCCCUUCUCCAUCAGCUUAGUGAGAGCUCCAAGAACAUGAAGGGCUGGUUCAACAUGAACCAUAUAUGCAAGCCAACUGCCCCCUUCUUCACUGGAAUCCGGUCACUAAGGGACUGGUCUAGCUUAGGGGUUCACUCAGGGUUGGAGGCAACAACCAAGCUCUCAGGUGGGAAGACUUUCAGGGUAUCACCAGUCAGGGAUUAAUCAAUAAUAAUAAUAAUAAACAUAGUAAACAGGGUAAAUACACCCCUGCAAAGGAUGGAGAAAGAUGAAGUUGGAGGUUUUGGCCUGUGGAAGGGAGCAGUCUUGGUCUGGAUUACUAUGCUUUAUGAGAGAUGUACCUGACAGCAAUAACUUAAGCAUACCCCCAGAGUGACCCUGUAUGGCAGACAUACCUGAAAGCAAUAACAACUUAAGAAAUGAGGGUUGCCAGCUGGAGGUUGCUAAGGAAAGGGUGCUAAGUGAAAAUGCUAUAUAAACUGCAUGCAGUUUGCAAGCUGUAGCGGUUCUGUCCAGCCUGCCACCACUGACUGGACUGUCCUGUAAGUAUGUCCCCAUCAAAUAAACCCCAUGUUUCAUUCACUGGCUCUGGGUCUCUUCUUCUCGCUCUUGAACCUGAGACGAUCCCUAUUGAAGUUAAUAGGUGUCUGGUACAACAUAUGGAUAUUUUUGCCUUGAAUGGCAAACUGCAGUCUUUCCUCAUUUUGAUCUAGGAGAUGAUUUUUUUGAACUUGAAAUUGAAUUCCUACAUUGGUUCUGAUCUGUUCACAAUGAUAUUUCUGUACCAGAAAGCAGGAAUCCGGAGGAUUUUCAUGUAUGAGGAGUAAUCUCUGGAAUGACUGGAUUCUUAGGAAUUGGAGCGACACAAGGCUUAUAACUACAGUGCAGAGACUGUGUCACAUACAUCCACAAAUAAUACAGCUUCUCGGUAGACUCUGGAGCAGGCGAGAAAGCAGGCAGGCAUACAGUACAGUGUGUAGUAACUUUGGUACCAUCUGGUCCACAGGCAAUAAUGCCAGCACGAACCAAAUAUCUAAAGAGGACACUUCCACCACUGCCUUGUCCAGAUCUUUGCAUUUUUCAUUUUUCUGGUUUAGGGAGACUCUUUUCUCAUAGAUAUUCUCCUCCUGAAGACCAGAUGCCACAGAGAUCCUCAUCUCAGAAUGAACCUUCUCUGUAGGAACCUGGGAGGCUACCAAGCCACAGAGAUUUUCCAUCCUACUGAACCGAGUUGGCACUGGCUUUGUUUUUUCCAUCCAGGUUUCAUGACAGCCAGAUUUGCAUUGGCAUAAUUGGCAAAAACAGACAUCCUAGGCUCAGGAGCUGAAGCUCUUUCUUCUCUUGGUCAUGGCAAAUGGGUCAGAGGAAAUGAAAAAUGACUCUUUUGGCUUUGAUAACUGAUGGAUGGUGAUACUCUGAAUUAACACAGAGAAUAUUGGAAGAGAAGGAUGUUGAAAAGGAGAAGUGUUAUCCUAAAUUUAAUUUGAGGCAGGUUAAGUUUCAGAGGAAUUCAGAGCAUCUUUGAGUAAAGAUCAGCAAAGAAAAUGCAGAAGCAGGACUCAGACAGGACUGGAAUUAUAGAUCCAGAGCAUUUUAUGAUAGGUGAUGCUGUUAGAAUAGCGGACAUCACCCCCAAAGAAUUAGAUGGACACAAAGAAGAUAAAAGCAUAACUUGGGGAACACUUCAUCAUUCAUAUUGCAUUGGGAAAAAGAACCCAAUAAAAUAGAUAGGGAUAUUGCAUUCAGAAUGAAUGUUGAUGAUGGAUGCAGGGUUUCUUCUACCUAAUAAACUGAAUGCAAAAAUCAUGCUAACUGCUCUAGUCUCCUCAUUGACACUCAUAUAUGGCAGCUGAAUAAGUGCUGUUUGAUCAAGAUUUUAUCAAUAGACUGCUAAAAUUCCACAUCUAUUUUCAUACUCAGGUAUUCUUUUCUAUUUUCUCAAUUAUUUUAUACAUCGUCAAAUCCCACUGCGUUGAUUCAGCUCCACAUUUACCACCUAUUUUGACCCUUUAAAUAUCACAACCAAUUUCUUUGAAGAACCUAUUGUUUUUCUUCUGUGGUUAAGGCCUCAUUGUCUGGGAGUACAGGCUGAGUGUCCCUCAUCUGAAAUGCUUGGGACACAAAGUGUUUCAGAUUUUGGAAUAUUUGUAUAUACAUAAUUAGAUAUCUUAGGGAUUGAAUUCAAGUAUAAACACAGAAAUCAUUUAUGCUUUAUAUAUACCAUAUACACACAGCCUGAAGGUAAUUUUAUGUGACACUUUAAAUAACUUCUGCAUGAAACAAAGUUUGUAUACACUGCACCAUCAGAAAGCAGAGGCAUCACUAUCUCAGCCACCCCUGUGGACAAUCUGUGGUUGUUUGCUCUCACCAUUAUUCCUGACUCUGAAUUUAUAUGCUACCACUAAGCAAGCAUUUUCUUAUACUUAGUCACAUGUCAGGACUUAACAGUAAAAAAAUCUAACAUACCAUUAAUAUAAGAAAAAACAAUGUGUCCAGGAUAACUGACUAACACAGUAGCAUCAUCAGAAUAGCUGUAUCAGCUGUUAAAGAACAGCAACAAUCAACAACGGCAAGCUUUCAGUCUCUGUCUACCAUGCUGUGUGUUACCCUUUGUGGGCGUGAUUGCAUGGGGAAACCCGGGCAUGCACAGAAACAUAUCACAGCUCAGGGAGGCUGAGAGAAUCUCUUUGUCUUUGGGGAUGUUGAAUAAAUGGUGUGUUGUGCAUCUGUGUUUUAACUUCAGCCUAUCACACAAGGUCCAGUGUGGAAUUUUCCACUUGUGAUGUCAUGGUGGCACUCAAAUAGUUUUGGAUUUGGAAGCAUUUUGAAUUUCAGAUUUUUGGAUUAGGUACGCUCAGCCUGUACUGUCAUUGAGAGUUGGAGGGUGGAGUUUUGUUUCAUUAAUUAAAAACAUAAUUUCAUAUUCUAGUGACUUUGAUAGGAGCUGUGUAAUAAUGGAGGGUGGGCAGGCAUGAUAAUUGUCAUUAAAAACUUGCAGUCUACUUCAGGAGACAAACAUUCAUCAAAAAAAUUCUCACUGAUGUUGAAAUUGUGUGUUAUGAAUAAUAUGUGUCAUAUUACAGCAGACAUUCCUGAUAACUAAAUAUUUGAAUUGAGAUUUAAAUGAAAAAUAGAAGUCAGCUGGGUAACCUGCGUAAAGUGGGAAGCAUUCCGCAUUCCUUGUAGAAGAAACAGCUUGUGUCAUGACCCUGUAGUGCCUUCUGGAAACAAAACAAAACAAACAAGCAAACAAAAAAGUCAAUGUGGUGAGAACAAAAUGUGAGAAGAAAGUGAAGCCAUAAAGCUAAUAUGAGCCUGUUCUUCUUUCCUCCUGGCACGCAGCUAAAAUUCAUUCCUCCCUAGGCAGAGUCAGAAGACUGAGUUCUGGCCUAAGUAAUGUGAGCGAAAGGGGCUCAGGCUUCUUCUACAAAAGCUCAUGAAAAUCUCUUUUGUGCUUCAUUCCAUUCUUUCUCUUCCUGGUCUACUAUGUGGAUGCAGAGGAACCAAAGGAAAACUCUGCUCCCUCUAUCAUGUGGAGGGCGCCUUCUGCAAACCAGGAACACACAUUUUUAACCUCACUUGAAUAACACAUAAACUUACACUGCAACAUUCCAUUAUAUAUUUGGGGGCUUUUAUUUUAUACUUUACGUUCUGGGACACAUGUGCAGAACGUGCAGGUUUGUUACAUAAGUAUACACGUGCCAUGGUGGUUUGCUACACUCAUCAAUCCGUCAUCUGCAUUAGGUAUCCCUCCCCUGUCCCACCACCCCCGACAGGCCCCAAUGUGUGAUGUUCCCCUCCCUGCGUCCAUGUGUUCUCAUUGUUCAGCUCCCAGUUAUGAGUGAGAACACGCAUUCUUUAGUUUUCUGUUCCUGUGUUAGUUUGCUGAGAAUGAUGGUUUGCAGCUUCAUCCAUGUCCCUGCAAAGGACAUGAACUCAUCCUUUUUUAUGGCUGCAUAGUAUUCUAUGGUGCAUACCUGCCACAUUUUCUUUAUCUAGUCUAUUCUUGAUGGGCAUUUGGGUUGGUUCCAAGUCUUUGCUAUUGUGAAUAGUGCUGCAAUAAACGUACGUGUGCAUGUGUCUUUGAGUCUUGUUUUUUAUAGCAGUGAGUGUUUUAGUACACCUUGUUUUGUAUAGUAAGCCUACCUACACUCCACUUUCAAUAGCAUUCUUAGAGCAAUAAUGCUCAUACUGUUUUAUAAAACAUUCCAAAAGCGUUCUAGAAAUGGAAUGGGGGAGUUGUGAGUAUGUGAAAUGAAGUAACAAGAAAUGUUUAAGGAAAUGUUCUGUGGCUAUCUAAGGAUGCUAAGGAAAAGGAAAGACAGCCGAUGAAGUGAUCUGUAAGAAUUAUAGUGACAUGAAAUUUUAUAACUGAAAUGUAAAGCAGUUAAAUAUUGCAAAUCCUUUCCAAAUAGUAUAUACAGCAGCUAAAAUAUAUCAGAUCACUAAAUAAUUGUGAUCUUACAUCAGUUUCUAUAAAAAGAGCUCAGAAGAUUGUUGGUUCAAAAUUUCAUAUGUGGGCCAGGCACAGUGGCUCACACCUGUAAUCCCAGCACUUUGGGAGGCCAAGGCCAGCCGAUAGCUUGAGCCCACGAGUUGGAAACCAGCUUGGGCAACAGGGCAAAAUCCUGUCUCUACCAACAUUUUUAAAAAAUAGCCAGGUGUGGUGGCAGACACUCGUAGUCCCAGCUACUCAAGAGGCUAAGGUAUGAAGAUCACCUGAGCCUGGGGAGGUCAAGACUGCAGUGAGCAGCGAUCAUGCCACUGCACCUCAGCCUGAUUGACAGAGGUAAAUUUUAAAAAAAAUACAUAUAAUAAGCUGUAAUUUCACACUUGUGGUAUAUUUUGUUUUGCUUAAAGAAUGUACUUUAAUAAAUAUAUUUUGAAAUGAUAGAAAAAUAUUUUAAAAAGCUGUAUCUCAAUCUACACGUGAAGAUUUAGUAUUCAGUAUUCCAAAGAUCAUGUAAUGGAAUUAGAUAAAAUUUCCAAAUUUAAAAACGAAAGAAGAAAUGCUGCUCUCUUAUGAAUUCUCACUCUAAAUUCAUUAAUUUAAGAUAUAUGUGGGCUUUCCUUGUACUUUAAAAUUGAAGAAAAUUCAGAAUGCUUAACCUCAUCUUUAAUCAAAGUGUAAUAAAUUACAAACCACACCAAAAUCUCUACCUACUGAAAACUUCUGAAGGUGGGAAAGAGUAUAGAGCCUAUAGCUGACUCCCUACAAUAUUCUAUAUGGCAACGUGAAUCCAUAGCAGGCUUAAUGUAAAGCAUCUAUUUUCUAAUAUCAUUGACAUUUACACACACACACACACACACACACACGUGGUUUGUUUGAAAAUUAAUCAUCAGGCCAGGCGUGGUGGCUCACACCUGUAUUCCCAGCACUUUGGGAGGCUGAGGUGGGCAGACCACCCGAGGUCAGGAGUUCUAGACCAGCCUGGCCAACAUGGUGAAACCCCCAUCUCUACUAAACAUAUAAAAAUUAUCCAGGCAUAGUGGCAUGCACCUGUAAUCUGGAGGCUACUCAGGAGGCUGAGGCAGGAGAAUCGCUUGAAUCUGGGCGGUGGAGGUUGCAGUGAGCUGAAAUCGUGACAUUGCACUCUAGCCUGGCUAAUUAGGGCAAAAUUCCAUCUCAAAAAAAUGAAAAAGAAAAUUAACCAUCAGAUGUAUAUUAAACACACACAAACUUGCAGACAUAUAUAUUACCAUCAUACGUGCAUAUAACAAUGACAUUUGUAUGUGUGUGUUUGUGUGUGUGUGUGGUGGUAUUCCAAAUACGUGCUUAUAAAUCACACUAAAAUUUGAUUAAAAGGUGAUGAUGUGGAGACACUUAGGUGUUUGGAAUCAUACACAGCUGAGAGCCAAGCUGCAGCUCUACACUUAGUCUUUAAAAAUGAGGCUUAUGUCCUUCUUGGGGACCCCACUCCUCAGUUCCUCACUGAGCUAUCAGGAUUACAUGAAGUUGAUAAAAGAUAUUUGGAGAGGCUGUCCAAAUGAGAAAAAUAAGUUUUGUACCUCCAAGGAGCUGACAGUCUAGUAGAAAAUAUGUAUAGCUAAUAAUUAAUGGCCAUAUAUUAUAAUAGGUGCUAAUAAAAAGGUAGGCCCAUGUAUACACAGGCCCCAAGAAAGGAACAGCCUGAGAAUAUCAUCAUAGGCAUGCACCUAGACACCUUUUGUGGUAUCAAGUCUGGUGGCAUCAGAAAGCACACUGGAAGGAACAGUUCUCAUCAUAUGACUUUAAAAUGUAAAACUUUAAAUGAAGAGCAAUGAAUGAGCUUGUUAAAGAAAAAAAAAAAAACAACGCUCAUGUUUGGUGGUACGACGAUAUUUAAUAAGAAAUGUUUAAGAAUGAUUGUGUCUAAAACCUAAAAUAUAAUAAUUAAAAAAAUAAAAAUAAAAAUAAAAAAAAAGAAAGUAUGCUUAGUAAGGCAAUAGCCAAGUUGUUAAAUAUAAAUUCACACUUGGUAAACGGUUUAAUAUCUGAUGUUUAUAAAUUACAUAAUUAGAAUCAUUUAAUAUCCACUGUAUACUUGAAACAAUUUUUAAAAACAGCCUUGUGACCAAUUAUAUUAACUUCAUGUUUAUAUUAAUUCUUAAUUUUUAAAAUAAAAGUCUAUAGUUUCAUUCCAAAACAAAACAAAACAAAACAAAAAAGAAUGAUUGUGUCAUUCUUAUUGUUGCUUUAAAAAAGGUCUAUCACAUUUCAAAAUAAGAUUUUGUUCAUAGCAAAAAUGACCCUGACAAUUAUUUUUUGAAGAGACUGUGCCCUUGCUGGCAAAACAGUGCACACUCAUUAACAGUUAGGCUGGCUAAGAUCCAGUUGGGUCAAAUGCUGAUUAAUUAGCUCAUCUGAUUGUCAGAGGAACAACCCCUUCUCAUAUGAACUGUCACCAACUUUGAAAUUUCUCAUCAAAGGUCCUUAAAGUUACCAAACUGCACUUAUAAUGGUUUUCUGUCUACUAUGUUUGUUGUAAAUGUAUGCUUUAUCCAUUAUCUAAUUUUACUUUCACUGCUAACAUAGCAUUUUAUGAAGCAUUAGUACAGCCUCCCACAAAUACCUUUUAUUAACCUGGUGUAAUCCUGCUAGUUCAAUGAAGUACUGAGGAGGGGCGCUCACUCAGAAGGCCCGAAGUGUGAUCUCUAGAGACUAAGCAUAGCGUUGCAGCUUGACUAUCAGCUGUGUAUGAUUCUAAACACCUGAGUAUCACCACAUCAUCAUCUCUCAAGCUUGUAGCAUUCCAACUGCUCUUAUUAAAUUUUAGUGUGAGUUAUGAGCACAUGUUUGGAAGUAACACCACCAUACACACAAAUGUUAUGGUUAUUUAUGUGUAUGUGUGUGAUGUUAAUAUAUAUGUGUGUGUUAGUUAAUACAUGUGUGCAUAUUUAUGUGUGUGUGAUUAAUAUAUAGUGAUGGUUAAUUAUCUUUGGUGAACCCUAACAAACUCUAUAUGUGUGGGGGAGUGUGUGUGUAUGUGUGUGUAAAUGUCAAUGGUAGAAAAUAGAUGCUUUAUCUUAAGCCUAAUAUUAAUUCACUUUGCUAUGUAGAAUAUUGUAGGGAGUCAGAUGUAGGCUCUGUACUGUCUCCUACCUUUAGAAGUUUUCAGUAGGUAGAGAUUUUGGUGUGGUUUGUAAUUUAUUACACUUUGAUUAAGGAUAAGGCUAAGUAUUCUGAAUUUUCCUUAAAUAUUAAAAUUACAAAGAAAGGCCACAUACAUCUUAAAUUAAUGAAUUUAGAGUGGGAAUUCAUAAGAAAGCAGCACUUCUUUAGUUUAUAAAUUUGGAAAUUUUAUUUAAUUCCAUUAAAUGAUGUUUGGAAUACUGCAAACUAAAUCUUAAUGUGUAGACCCAGGUACAUUUUAAAAUACUAUUUUUCUGUAAUUUAAUAUAUAUUUAUUAAAGCAUAUUCUUUAAGCAAAAUAAAAUAUACCACAGUUGUGAAAUUACAGCUUGUGAUACAUAAUUUUGCUUUGUUUUCUUUUGUUUGUUUGUUUUUUGUUGUUGUUGUUUUUGUUUUGAGACAGGGGCUCACUUUGUCACCCAGGCUGGAGUUUAGUGGCAUCAUCAUGGCUCACUGCAACCUUGACCUCUCAGGCACAAGUAGUCUUCCUACUUCAGCCUCCUGAGUAGCUGGGACUAUAGGUGCACACUACCACACCCAACUCUUUGUUUCUCUCUCUUUCUUUCUCCCUCUCUCUCCUUCCUUCCUUCUUUCCUUCCUUCCUUCCUUCCCUCCCUCCCUACCUCUCUUUCUCUCUUCUUUCUUUCUUUCUUUCUUUCUUUCUUUCUUUCUUUCUUUCUUUCUUUCUUUCUUUCUUUCUUUCUCUCUUUCUUUCUUUCUUUCUUUCUUUCGUCGAUCUGUCUUUCUUUCUUUCUUUCUUUCUGUCGAUCUGUCUUUCUUUCUUUCUUUUCUUUCAUAGAGAUGAGUUUUAGCCAUGUUCUAAAUUUCUAGGCCUAUUUUGAUUACUUGUCAAUUUUAUUUUUAAUAGGUAACUCUGAAUUCUUAAAAUAACUUGACACUCAUAGGAGAAUAAUGUAACAAAGUCAUAUGUAGGAAAUUAGUUUAUCUUUUCAGAUAAACUUACCUAACUAUGUUGUAAAGAAUUUGCACAAGUUUUUCAUUUUAUUCCAUUACCUCAUUUAAGGCUCAGGUGCUGAAAAUGGGGAUGAGAGAGAGCAAAGAUACUCAGGUUUAGGCCGAGUGCAGUGGCUCACACCUGUAAUCUCAGCACUUUGGGAGGCGGAGGCGGGCGGAUCACAAGGUCAGGAGAUUGAGACCCUCCUGGACAACAUGGUGAAACCCCAUCUCUACUAAAAAUACAAAAAUUAGCCAGGUGUGGUGGCGUGUGCCUGUAAUCCCAGCUACUCGGGAGGCUGAGACAGGAAAAUCGCUUGAACCAGGGAAUCGGAGGUUGCAGUGAGCCGAGAUCGUGCCACUGCACUCCAGUCUGGUGAUAGAGCGAGACUCUGAAAAAAACAAAACAAAACAAAAAAAGAUACUCAACUUUGGGCCAAUAAUUUCAGGACCACCAACAUAUUGUGAUUCAACACAUGAACUGAAUUGGCUCAGAUGGGGCUUAUGCUUUGGUUUCCUUCUUUGGUGUGAAGGAAUAGGGUUAUUAUGAACCAAACAGGUUAAAUGUAGGUGCCACUUUGAUGCUUCAUCAGUGCCUUACUAUUAUUCCAAAUUUAACUCUAAUAUUUUUGAGUAUCAUUCCCUUCUUCAUACAGUGAUUCAUAAGAAUCUGACCCAGCCUACAACCCCAAAAGUUACCCUAAGGAUAAUCCCAUAACCUUUGCAAUAAUUGGUUUAAGAACAUUGGCCAAUAGGCCUUUGGCUUUCUCCUAGCCAUUAGGAUUGCUUCAGAAGUGAGCACAGUCAGGCCACUGAGACACAGGAGAAAUGUAGGGGCAGGGCCGGCUUCUGGAGGAAGAAGCUUCCUUACUAUGACAAGAGAGCUUAUGGAAAUAAUGCACUGUCUUCCGACGAAUGAUGUAGUGUGAGGAUGUGAAUGUAGAUUUCUGUAACUAGCCAACAUAAAAGGGGUACCCCAAAGACAACAAGCAAAUAAAGGAAUGCACCACUGUGGAAAGGAAAGUGGACUCCUUAUAUCAAUCAUGACUCUUUCCCCAGCUCAUGUUCCAAACUGUGUCAGCAAAUAAAUUCCCUAGUUGUUUAAGCUAGACUUAAUUGGGUUUUCCAUUACUUGCAGCUAAAGGUACCCUUCUGACAGUUCCACUAUGCGCUAGGUACUCUAUUCGCAUUGACUAACUGAAUUCUUUCAGUGCAGUGAUGAUUAUCCACAUUAUACAGAUAAGAAAACUGAAGCUCGGGGUGUCAUAUAAUAGUAUCAGUGUAACAUGGAAGAGCCCAUAAUUUUAAACAAUGUUUGUUGUUUGUUUUCCUGACUCUGAAGCCUAGGAGUGAAAUUGUUUUACUUUGAAAAAUAACAUUUAAAAAUUAUUUCAGUCUCCUUAUGUUAGUACUUUUUAUGGUUUAUUAGUAAUUUUGAAAUAUUUUGUCUUGAAAAAAUAGAUAUGAAAACUUGGGCUGCUAGGCCUAAUGAUGCCUUAUAAAUCUAGAUUCAUAAUCUACAUCAGGGGCAAAUAUACAAUACCCAUACACUUGCCUAAAAGAGAAGUGGCUUUCAAAAAUGCAUUCAUAAAAAAGGAACUCAAUCCCAAAUCGUUAUGUAAAACCAGCUCUAGUACAAGGAGAGUGUUACACAACUGUGUAUAAAUAUGGCUCAGAAUAUCUUUAGGGUAUUUUUCUAAAUCAAAUUUCAAAGAGUUAUGUCAUUUAUAUGAAAUAGCAAAUAUGAAUAAAGCAUAGGGCUAAGGUCAUGCAAAAGUAAUGCUAAAGGAAACUGAUAUUUAUAUAAAUUGCAUUAUACUUAACAAUGGAAAAAUAAAAAUGUAACAAGACCUAUAUUAAUCUUGUCACCUCAAUGUUUUAUAAGAACUGAUUUAAACUAUGCAUUUUUUUCAAUUAUUUUAUAAGCGAUCUCUUGUUCUGAGUUUCUUCCAUUUGUCUUAAAAAUAGCUGCAAUGGUGUGUUAAAAAGCUAAGCCCAAACCUUCCCCGAUCCACCUCCCCGCCUUGGGUGAUGAGGAAUCUGUGAGCCAUCUUUGCCUUCCUUCUCCCUUCAGAUUCUCAUUCUCAACUUCAUUCCCGCCUCAACCCACAGACAUCUCAGGUUUUCCCUCACUGGGGUUUGAAAACGGACUGAACUACAAACAAGUAAUUCAAGUGGUGAUUCCAACAGCUGCUUCUAUUCACUGUGCCUUGCUUCCCUUUCUUUCACCAGACGUUCUCUUUCCUUCACUUCCAGGACCCUACACUCCUCCCAGUAUUUCUCCUGGAUAUUUCUUGGUCACUUUCUCAGAUUUCUCUCUUCUCCAUCCUUCAAUACAAGACCCUCAAAGCUAUGUCCUAAGUUUUCUUUUGUUUCUAUUAGACAUUUCUCCCCUGAGCAGUGACUGUCGGCUCCCACACUGUGGUUAUCAUCACAUGCUGAUGAUUCCAAAGGCUCUCGUGGGGAUAACGCAUUUCUGCAACAUACUACAGGAUAACCAUCUCCAAGAUAUUAAAACAUAGGGAACAAAAUGCCGUAGUGUUGCCUCGUUAUCUAUUAAUGAGUAUUAUAUAUUAAAUAUUAUAAAUAUAUUAAUAUGACUAUAUUUAUUAUUUAUACUUAAUAUCAUAAAUAUAUUAAUUUUACAUUUAUAUUUAUAGAUCAGAGUGAGGAUACUAACGAGCUGCUCAGUAUUUAGAAAAAGUGAUAACGAAAGCAAAAAAAAUUUCUUUUCCUUUUUAGAGAUAGGGAAGGUUCAUUGUGCCUUAUUCUUUAACCUAAAUAUACUAGGUGAAAUCUAUGAAAAUAGAAACACAUUCAGGGUGAUCUGGUCUCUGCGUUGCUUGGGUUAAUUUUUGCCGAUAUUCUAGUAGUACCUUUGCACAGUUACUCACUCUGGAUAAGGCUUUCUAGAGUUGUCCAUGUGAAAAUCAUCUUGAUCACAAAUCAACACCUGCAAUUCCAAGUGUCUGACCUUGUGACUUUCAAAUCAGGGCUUGUGUUAUAAAUCACGGUUUAUUUUCUCUUCCUGUAGCAUCUUAAUAUCUACGGCAUGCCCCUGAUUAUCAGCAGUUACAGCAUUCUCCAGGAUGAUAGCCUAUGUCUUUGGGGUGUCUUCUAAGGCUGCCCAAAGUGAAUUUAAAUGAUGAUAUAACCUCUAUUUUAACUCAGGUCACCCCGAAAUAUCCUCUUGAGAAAACCCAACCAGUUGUUUUGGGUAAUAUAGCACAGUAACAGAAAGAGAUAAAUGUGUGAUUCUAUAUGCACGCAAAAGACCAAAACAGAUGUGAAAAUAUAAUCUCAAAGCCUUUGGGAAGUGACACUUGAUUUUGCUAUGGGGAAACCUUUUCUUGAAGUCACCCACUCAAGACUAGAUUUUUUGCUUGAUGGUAGAUUGAUUACCCAUUAUCUUUCACUAGAGUUCUAGUAAGGGCUUCUUUAGAGGGAACAGAAAUCUUAUUUUCUCUUAUUGCCAGAUCACUCUUCUGUUCUUCACUGUUGCCACAGUCAUUAUUGUAUUACAGCUACUUAUGCAUAUGAUCACAUUUCUAGAUUGUAAACUCCUCAUGCUCAGAAUAUCCUUAUCUUAUCAAUUCUUACUGCAUCAUUUUGGAUAAUAAGAAAAAAAACCAUUGGAAAAAUUUCUAGUUGAGUUUAGACAAUGCUACUAUUAUUUGGCAAUCAACUUGGAAGUAUGAUUUCCUCUGCACCUUAGCAUCGUGUUCAACAACAACAAAAACGUAUGAUUAAAGUAGCUUAAAACAUAAACUGCAUUCUAAUUUUAUAUGAAAAAUGUCUCUAAGUAAAAUAAAAUUGGAUUAUUCAAAUAAUCAUUUUUUUUGCUAAAAGUGGCCAUCAUUUUCUUGUUUAUUAUAAUAUACUACACUGAGUUUUGACCUUUGAUAACCAUUUUACGAAAUUAUGUUGGAUUAAUGCAUCUGAUAUUUUUGCAACCUAAAUUUUCUCCUUUUUCUCUCAGCAUAGGUCACUUUCAAUAUUCUAUCAGCAGUUAAAAUAUUAUUGUUUUCAUAAAAUUUCAACUCUAAACCUAAUUUGUAUAAUCUUGGAAAGCUCAGCUACUGCUAUUAUAAUUUAUCAUUUUAUUUCAUUGAUAUAACACUGAAACAUUACAUAUUAUUGCAAUAUAACAAAAUAAAAUAAAGUAUCUUAGGAGAUGGCUGAUUCUGACCUUUCUAUCACCUGUUGGAGAAAGGCAUUUCCUGUAUAUAAUAACCUGUAGGAAAAUGCUAAAUCUUUCUGGAAACAUACAUUUUAGUCACUUAGGUAGUGGAGGCCUUAUAAUUCAAGAAUAAUUUACCAUUCUGAAGAUGAGUCUAGAUUUCCACCAAUUCUUGGGUCCGUAUGUUUUGUGGCAUUGAUUAAACACAGAAGGUGUGUUUGUCAAUCAGCCUUUCCUUGAAAGGUUUAAAGUUGCUUAAAACCCAGAAUUUUAGCCUUCAUCAUGAUACAGUCAUAUUGUUUUGAAUUAUGUAAUAUUUGACAAGUGGUUCUAUCAGCUGAAUUAAUUUUUCAAUUGUCUCUAAUUGCCUUUUAUUUCUUGGGGUGAUAUUUCACACAAAUUUGAGAUGAGAGUGUCAUUUGGCCAAAUGUAUCUAAACAUCCCAUUUAUUCAACAUUUAUUCACUACCCGCUGCUAUUUUCCAGGCACAGACUGACCUAGGUAAUGGGGAUAAAGCUUUGAUGAAAACAUACAAAACAUCCAGCUUACCUUGAGCUUACAUUUUAAUAAUAUUUACCACAAAACAAAUCAGCAGUUCUAACAUUUCCUAAAUAUGAUCUCAAUUGAUAAGCAUUCUUCAUUACAGGUACUUAAUAAAGCAAACAUUAUAUAUUAAGACAAAACAUACACUUAUAGGAGUGUGGGCCAGGAAAGAAGAAAUAAUGAAACAGGCAGAAAAUAGUCUGGGAUUUGAGCUCAGAAAAAUGUGGUUUGUUUCUAAUUUGCUUCCAUAUAUUUAGAUCUUGCCAAAGUAUUUACUAAAUCUCUUGAAUCUUUUUUUUUUUAAAAAUUGGGGAUAAUACCUCAUUUGUUUUCAGAGUUGUUCUGAGGAUUCUGUAAUUGUAGAAAAUAUUUUCUUUUACAAUGUAGCAAUUAAUCAAGGUAAUAAUAGUCAUAUAAAGGUGUGGUCACUGCCCUACUUUCACUAACAAAAACUUUAAAUUAUCAUUUGAGGUGCAAACUUCAAUAAAAAACAAACAAGUCAUAUAAUACAUGUUACUUUCAACAAACAAGUCAUAUAAUUCUGGUCAUCUAAGUAAAGUAUGAAAUUGAUGGUUAUAGAUAAAAUUCCCCUGUUAAAUUUCUACCACUGCAGAAUUAUUCUAUACAUUAAUAAACCAGAAAAGCUAUACAUUAUUAUUUAGGGUUUAACAAAAAAAGUCAUGCUGUCUUUUUAACUGCUUACUGAAAAUACAUGCCUUAAGCAUAGGAAAUAUAAUUGGUUAGGUGAGGGAAAGAGUGUGUUUUGGGAUGAAUUUUGAGCUUGCUGCCUUGGUUGGAUCUAAAAUUGUAGAAUCAUGAGCUUCUACAAGCAGCAAGUAAGAGUCAGGAAAUAGGAUCAGAAAGAGGUUUAAGAGAACGUGGGUUAAAAGUGAAAGGGGUUAUUCUUUGCAAUAUUAUGUACACUAAGAAACUUCAAGGCAAGCUGUUAUUUUCACAUAAAUAAUUUUACAUUACAUGAUAUUGAGGCACCAAAACUUACAUCUUAUUUUCUACUCAAUGUCAUUUGUAUUUUUUGGUUGUUUGUUAGAUUCAUGUGAGGGGGUUGAAAUUAAACAGCUUGUGUCUAGGGUAAUUUUUAGUCUCUUCCUGGAACCAAAUUUGUGAAAUGAUGAAUGAUGAACUACGUAUCUUUCAAUGAGUGAGUCUCUAGCGGGCAGUCAGCAGCAAACAGAGCACCCGUUAGACUGAUGUGACAACUUAACUGAAGGUUAACAGUCUGUUCUAUUUAUGGAGCUUUCUGGAGGGUUGCAAACACUAUUUACCAUAACGUUAACUUCUCAGUGGGCUGGCAUUUUGGCACACAAAGAGGUCUGAGGCGCUUCCUAUUAUAACAUUCUCAUUAGUCAGUGGAACGUGGUGUAUAGGUGGCUAUAUUAUCAUCAAUACAAUCCAUCUUUAAGAUUUCUAGAGGCUGUUUGCUUAUUUAGGUUUAUAGAUCCUAUCAUAUCGUUCCUCUAUAGAGCUCAGAAAGGAAUGGAAUUUUGAGAAGUAGCUGUUUGAGACUUAAUAAAAAAAUACUUGUUUAGAAAAUAUUUAACAACAACAACAAAAAUUGAGAGGGAAUUAGAUAUCGGCUAUGUACACUCCCAAGUGGAAUGUAUCGAGACCCGAAAUUUCUCUGUUGGAUCAAAUAUGUAAUGAAAUCAUCUAGGGAGAGUGAUUUUAUGUCACUACGGAUAGACCUUUUUUCCCAGCAAAAACAUAUUUAGUAGACAAAUAAAUAAACACAAAGUAAAAUACGUCAGCUACAAUUUUGCAGACCCAAGUCUCAAGGAAUUGGCUGUCUGUUUUACAUUGUUAAAAAGUAUUUAAAGGACUUUUUCAUCUGGAAAAUAAUAGGAAGCAUACUAUUGAAAAUAGAAAUGAUUGAAAGGGGAGUUAAUGGAGCAGAGAUUUUUUAAAAAUCUGACUUAAUUCACAUUUACUAACUGUCUACAGCAAGCAACAAACCCACAGUUAUAAAUGCAUAACAUGUGGUAAGGAGUAUAAGUUCUGAAGUUCACAUCCUGGAGCUUAGCACUUACAGGUUAGAUGAUGUUGAACAGAUUCACUUCUCUGAAUCUUUGAUUUUCUCAUUUAUAAAGCAGAGAUAAAAUGAAGUUUGGGAGAUAUUUAUAAAAGAUAGCACAUAGAAAAUACCAACUUAUAGUAAUUAUUCAAUAAAAUAUAGUAGAAAUAAAAUUUAAGUACACUGAAUAUACUGUAAUCUCUUAUGGAAUCCCUUCUUUUCAAAAUAGCACAAUCUAACUUAAAAGAAUUAACUACCUCAUUUGAAAAAUAAAUAGUAUAUAAUAUUCUUAUGUAUCUUAGUUAAGGUUGUGUUUUCCUGGAGCUGAGGAUGAAUGGCAUGCACGUGUCUAAGACGCAGUUACAAGAUCUAGCAACAAACAUUGUAUAAUAAGAAAUCAAAUAUUGAGUGCUUCAAAUGUUCUCUGAGCAAAAUUUAAUACAGAUUCACUAGUUAACACUUGGAGAAGUACAGAUUUACUAGUGGCUCCAGGCAAAACUAUCAUCUCACUCAAUUAAGAUUACACAGUUUAAUUUCACGUUGUUGGGUUUACUUUCUGGUACUUGGAAAAUAUAUUAUAACUUAGAAAUAUUAUUUAAUGGGCAAAAAUAACUUAGCAAUGCUUUAAAACUGUGAAAAGGUAGUCAAUAUUAAAGAAAUUAGGAACAAAUGACUAAAUUUAUUAGAAUAACCAAUAACCAGGCAUAGAAAAUUAAAAUGAUUGCUUAUGGAGACUAGUUGGAUGACGACAUCUAUUGCUGCAACAUCUUUGACCUGGGUUUCUACUCCCACUACUUACCAUACCCAGGUCUCUGUAUCUAUACACAUGUCCUUAUCUCUCCCAAGCAAUCCUGAAUCAAAAAAUGAAAACAAAAUCGCUGACUUUAACUCUUCACUUUUCAAAAGCCAUGAAAAAUGAACAUACUUGAUUUUUUCUUGUAUUCAUUAUAAUUAAAAAUGAAAUUAAAUAUUAAUGUGUUCAAAUUUGUACAUUUUUAACGAGCAAAGGAAAUUGCUUUACAAAUAUUGAUCUUGUUUAUGGCCUUUAUGUAGAUAUUCAAGAGUUUUAUUUUUAUACUAAGCUUUUUUUUUAUGUUAUUCACAGAGAAAUCCACUUUUUUAAAGUCGAAAAUUUUCUUGAUUCCUUGAAUACAUGUUUUAAAUUUAAUCAAGAAACAAAAAAAUUUAAAAGUCUAAUUAGAUGAAAACUGUGAUAUCUUGUUUAAAUCUACACGUUGGAUUCUGGAUAAUUAUUACCACUAUUUUGUUCUAUAGUCACGGUAGAAGUGCUUUAAAUUUUGAACUUCUUAAAAAAUAAAAAUUAGAUUUUUGAGGAAAUGCAGCACAUAUUUUUAAAGGAAUGUGUAUGUUUGUAAACGUAGGCAAAUCUCUGUAGAAGGAAGCUCUAAAUCUAGUCUCAGCACUUAGGCAAAAACUUAACUGCCAAUAAAAGAGAAGUCACAGACACCUACCUGUUUACCCCUGUGCAGAACAAUAUUUUUGUUUUUAUCUUUAUUAACUAAAUACUAUUUUUAACUAGCAAAAGCAUUACUAAAUUCACUCUAUAUUCUUCACUUUAAAUAUUAAAUAAAAAUAAUGUAAUAAGAAUUUAUUAAAUUAGGGUAAUCUAAUUCAGCAAUCUAAGUUAGAUACAAAAUUUCAAAUUUGCAAAAAUGAAUUUUGGCAGGUGAUAAGAUUAUCAAAUAAUAGGUAACUUUUCUUAAAUUUAGAAAUUCUGAAUGAAAGCCUGAUUGUAAUACUGUAUCAUCUGUAGUUAUUACUGUGGAGCCCUCACCACUCUUAGGAGUUAGGCAUUUUAUCAGUCAUCUACAUAUAGUGUUUCGGCUAAAAAUAAUUACAACAGAGAAUUCAUUCACUGAAUACAUGAAACUAGAAAAAUGGUCAUUAUCCAUGCAGACAGAUAUGAAUGUACUAUUUUACAAAAUCAUCUCUAGAACUUUCCUGAUUAUGAGGGAAUGGUAAAGAGAAAUUCUAAGGCCUCAGUUUCUCAUUUCCCUCAACAGAAAUGUAGGAAAGUCUUCCCCAGUUUUCUGACCUGGGAGUUUACCAACUUGAUCAGCACUUGUAUCAGAGGAAAGGUGACAAAACGGUUUAUAAGAAAAUAUCUCCUUGCAUUCUUUAUUACAACACAGAAAUGUAUCCAUCUCUUAAUUAAGGAAAAUGAUUUUCUAAACAUCUGGAAACAUCACUAGAUUUAUUUUUAGCCUGAAGUUAAAAGAAAACAUUUGGGUCUACUUGACAUGGGUGGAUCUAUCCAAUCACCUCUGUAAUCAAGAUGCUGGUGCCCUGACUGAUCAUACUAUGUGCCAAGACAGGUCAGAAUCUAGGUGCUAAUUGGAUUAAGGUGGGGAGAAAUCGAAGGAGAAAGAAAAGAGGGAAGAAAAGAGAUGGGAAGAAGGAGAAAAAUAAGCUUUGUUUAUGGUCAUAUGCUGCCCACCACAAAAGCUUGCUCAGGAGCUGGACUCUGUACAAAUGUGGUCCUGCAGUAUAGAUCAUACAUAGACCGGAAAAUAAAUAACACUACUUAUAUAACAAAAGAUAAGGCAUGGGUUUCUUUCAUUCAUUUUUUUUUAUGUCUUUUGGCCUCUUAUUCUUUUUUUUAUUAUUACACUUUAAGUUUUAGGGUACAUUCACAAUAGCAAAGACUUGGAACCAAACCAAAUGUCCAACAAUGAUAGACUGGAUUAAGAAAAUGUGGCACAUAUACACCAUGGAAUACUAUGCAGCCAUAAAAAAUGAUGAGUUCAUGUCCUUUGUAGGGACAUGGAUGAAGCUGGAAACCAUCAUUCUCAGCAAACUAUUGCAAGGACAAAAAACCAAACACCUCAUGUUCUCACUCAUAGGUGGGAAUUGAACAAUGAGAACACAUGGACACAGGAAGGGGAACAUCACACACCAGGGCCUGUUGUGGGGUGGGGAGAGGGGUGAGGGAUAGCAUUAGGAUAUAUACCUAAUGUUAAAUGACGAGUUGAUGGGUGCAGCACACCAACAUGGCACAUUUUGAAACUGAAAUCAUUUGACUCUGAGCAGGAUGUUCAUACUACAUGGUGUAAACAUCCACCAGAAUUUCCUUAUACCAGCUUCUCUUGACUCCAAACAUAUUCAUUAUGAUCAGAUGUGCCUUACUAAGACUCCACUGCCAUCUUAUUACCCCUUGGUGAAGAAUCUAAAAUAUUUACAUUAUCAAAUCACACUUUCCACCAUUUACAAAUUUUCCCGCAAUCAUGCCUGUCAACAUGGUAUUAUUCUUAUUUUUUCCCUCCUGCUUAUAAACCUCUCUCCCUGUCUGGGCCUUAGUGUAUUCCAGAUUCUCUUCAGGUGUCACUUAAUUCAUGAAGCAUCCCCUGAAUAUUCAUCUUCAAUGUCCUGUGGAACAGGUUUAAAAAUAAUGGUUCCAAGUGUCUUAUUAAUUAGCUUGUUUAUGGAAUACCCUCUAUGUACAGGCUCUAUGCUGAUCAAGCAAAUAGAAAAAGAGAGAGAAUAAGUUCUUAAAUAAGUUCUUGGUCUAGUAUAUAAAACGUCUUAAUGCUUAAUUAGAAUCAACUGUGAUACAUACAAACAUUGUAAUUGCACAAGUUAUAGCCAUAAUACACAGGGGGAAAUAAUUGUUGGCAUUUUGGAAAAAGGAAAGGGAAAAAUAGACACCACACAUGUGUGCACACAUACACAUAUUUUAUUUAAGCAGCAAGGUUUCCAAAUCAGGAACUCUAUGUUUUUCAGAGGAGAGUUUCCCAAGCACCCAUAUUAUCAGAACCAUCUCGGGUACUUUAUGAAAAAAAAAAUUAAUGGACCUCACUGCUAUAAAGUUAGACUCUGUAACUCUGAAUUGCUGCCCAUAGGAUCUAUAUUUUAAAAGCUCUCAUUUUAAUGUCAAUGAUGAGUUGAGUCUGGUUACCAGAAGAGUCUCGGGCAAAUCAGGUCACCCUACUUGUAGGUUGCAGAUUGGUGACCCUUAGGUACAUGGGGGCAUAACUCAUUUCUAUCAACCAUGAAGGUUUGCACAAAAACUCAAUUGAUCUUCAAAUAACACAAUUAUCAAAUCUACUAGUCCCGUUCCCCUAAGUUUCAACAAUCCAAGUUUAAUCCCUUUAAUUUUUAUGUUUGAAAACUUAGAAGUGAUUGCUUUUGACUGGAGCUUUUUAGGUUCCAUGCUUUUCUUUUUGAUACUUACUUUAUGUGGAUCAAAUUCAUUGAACCUUAGAAUAUCAGACUAAUAAAAACAUGGAGACUAAAUCAAUAGCACGGCAUUAAGGUCAUCCUCAACCUGUUAUUGUGUUGAUUCUACUGCAGGUGUGAUGUCCUUGACAGGGAGGUUGAUAUAUGGAUGGUUGUGUUGUACUUUGACAGGCUUCUGCUUCUCAGGGCAAAGAGUUUUCAGCAAAUGAUUGUUUUGCCUAUUGACGUUCUUUCAAUCUUUUACUCUUUCUUGGGAAAGAUCAGUGUGCUGUGUCCCUAGAUUAACAGGAUAAAUCUACAGUAAUAACAUUUGUUUGAAUCUACUUCGAAGUCACAUAAACAUGAAUUUAUAGAAAUUAUAGCCUCCUUCUGUGAAACUCAAAAUAGUUUUUAAAUAAUAAUUUUUGUCAUAGCCCUUAUGACAGAGAGGCUGCAAACAGAUAUAUGCGUAUUCCACAAUCUGACAGGCACAAUCAGGGGUUCAAGUGACUUAGCCUAAACUAUUAAUCAAAAUAAUUACUAAUGUUUCCUAAUAAUACCCAAGGUUUUCAAUAACUUAUGAAAAAAAGUAUUUUCCUUACAGUACAGAUAUUUAAAAUAUAUGAUCAUAUUUUUGUGUAAAGAUUUCCUUAAUAUUGAUUCAAUAUAAACAAAUAAG
This is a long non-coding RNA of Symphalangus syndactylus (siamang), 27175 nucleotides long. RefSeq lists it as uncharacterized. The record is from RefSeq and is a predicted model, not a curated record. NCBI's taxonomy places the organism in Eukaryota, Metazoa, Chordata, Mammalia, Primates, Hylobatidae.